AGUGAACGCUGGCGGUAGGCCUAACACAUGCAAGUCGAACGGCAGCACAGGAGAGCUUGCUCUCUGGGUGGCGAGUGGCGGACGGGUGAGGAAUACAUCGGAAUCUACUCUGUCGUGGGGGAUAACGUAGGGAAACUUACGCUAAUACCGCAUACGACCUACGGGUGAAAGCAGGGGAUCUUCGGACCUUGCGCGAUUGAAUGAGCCGAUGUCGGAUUAGCUAGUUGGCGGGGUAAAGGCCCACCAAGGCGACGAUCCGUAGCUGGUCUGAGAGGAUGAUCAGCCACACUGGAACUGAGACACGGGCCAGACUCCUACGGGAGGCAGCAGUGGGGAAUAUUGGACAAUGGGCGCAAGCCUGCUCCAGCCAUACCGCGUGGGUGAAGAAGGCUUUCGGGUUGUAAAGCCCUUUUGUUGGGAAAGAAAUCCAGCUGGCUAAUACCCGGUUGGGAUGACGGUACCCAAAGAAUAAGCACCGGCUAACUUCGUGCCAGCCGCCGCCGUAA
This 506-nucleotide ribosomal RNA is filed under the name uncultured bacterium. RNAcentral's name for it is "partial 16S ribosomal RNA". It matches the Rfam family "Bacterial small subunit ribosomal RNA", at positions 29 to 523 of the family's 1533-position model. The record is from RNAcentral.